AUGAACGCUGGCGGCGUGCUUAACACAUGCAAGUCGAACGGUGAAGCCCAGCUUGCUGGGUGGAUCAGUGGCGAACGGGUGAGUAACACGUGAGCAACCUGCCCCUGACUCUGGGAUAAGCGCUGGAAACGGCGUCUAAUACUGGAUACGAGUAGCGACCGCAUGGUCAGCUACUGGAAAGAUUUAUUGGUUGGGGAUGGGCUCGCGGCCUAUCAGCUUGUUGGUGAGGUAAUGGCUCACCAAGGCGUCGACGGGUAGCCG
RNAcentral lists this ribosomal RNA (261 nucleotides) under Microbacterium sp. ISO167_OTU12386. RNAcentral's name for it is "partial 16S ribosomal RNA". It matches the Rfam family "Bacterial small subunit ribosomal RNA", at positions 29 to 289 of the family's 1533-position model. The record is from RNAcentral. Lineage: Bacteria; Bacillati; Actinomycetota; Actinomycetes; Micrococcales; Microbacteriaceae.